GCUGGCGGCAGGCCUAACACAUGCAAGUCGAGCGGUAACAUUUCUAGCUUGCUAGAAGAUGACGAGCGACGGACGGGUGAGUAACGCGUAGAAAUCUACCUAGUAGUGGGGGAUAGCCCAGAGAAAUUUGGAUUAAUACCGCAUACGCCCUACGGGGGAAAGCGGGGGAUCUUCGGACCUCGUGCUAUUAGAUGAGUCUGCGUCGGAUUAGCUUGUUGGUGAGGUAAUGGCUCACCAAGGCGACGAUCCGUAGCUGGUCUGAGAGGAUGACCAGCCACACUGGAACUGAGACACGGUCCAGACUCCUACGGGAGGCAGCAGUGGGGAAUAUUGCACAAUGGGCGCAAGCCUGAUGCAGCCAUGCCGCGUGUGUGAAGGAGGCCUUAGGGUUGUAAAGCACUUUCAGCAGUGAGGAAAGGGGUGUCGUUAAUAGCGCCAUCCUGUGACGUUAACUGCAGAAGAAGGACCGGCUAACUCCGUG
This 481-nucleotide ribosomal RNA is filed under the name uncultured bacterium. Its description in RNAcentral is "bacterial SSU rRNA". It matches the Rfam family "Bacterial small subunit ribosomal RNA", at positions 35 to 507 of the family's 1533-position model. The record is from RNAcentral.